Neofelis nebulosa (Clouded leopard) is the source of this 577-nucleotide long non-coding RNA. RefSeq lists it as uncharacterized. NCBI's taxonomy places the organism in Eukaryota, Metazoa, Chordata, Mammalia, Carnivora, Felidae. The transcript has 3 exons. The record is from RefSeq and is a predicted model, not a curated record.
CUUAAUGGGAUGGGAGCCUUGCCUAGCUCAUAUCAUACUCUUUUCUUAUUCUUGACUACAUAGCCUGGGGAUCUAUAACUUGUUGGUACAGUGUCCAGACACUAGCACCCAUCUUUUUCCUCUCAGGGCACUCUUUGAUCCUGGCCUCUGUAUGCCAACUGCCUUGCAAAUGUAUUUUUUCUCUACUUUUCAGGAUGUGCAGCUCAAUCUCUGCCUUCUGGAGCCUGACCACUGCCACUACACAUCUAAUUUAGCCUCUGGCUCUCUGUCUGGACCAUGUCUUCUGGUGAUUCCAGAAAUGAGACAGAAUGAGAGCUGUAUCAAAUUAUGUGCAAUAAAAUAUUAAAUUUUAUAUGUUGAUAAGGAUUUUGAUUAUUUCACUGUGGACAUGGAGAAAGAAGUGAAAGAAUUUCAUUCAACAUUCAUGGGGAAAGAGAAUACAAAAUGAAUGUGUAUGUGUUCAGAUUGGCAGAUGGGCUAGUAACAAGGAAUGGAAAGAUGAGGAUUUGAAUUUCCAUCUGGUGUGAAGUUUUAUUCCGUUGCCCCUUCAGUGUAUUACAGUGUUGACUAGAAAUGG